CCCAGGUCAGGUAGAAGCUGAGUGCCAGCUGGUAGGUCAUGCCUUCCUGCAGGUACCUGUGGGCCUGCAGCAGGUAGAACAGGAUACCCAGUACGAUGCUGGUUCCUGCAUGAGCACAGGUGUUAGGAGGCUGAGAAUCAGAUAUGUAAGGACUCCUUCCCAUAGUCAUGUGGCUGCCUGGCUCUGGCUCAUUAUUUCCCCACUUUCUUUAACCUCCCAGACCCUGUACCUUUGCUCCUAAGCAUGAAGAUGGGCUUCUGACCAAGUCCUGCUAGAGGACACUGAAAGGGCAAGCCUUGGGCUUUAACCAGGCAAUGGAAAAUUUAAAUUGGGCUCCAGAGAAGAGACAUUGAGACUGAUACUUCCAGCACUGAGGAUCUACCUCUAGAAGUCUAGCUCAGAACUUGGCCUCCGGCCUGGGCACUGCCUCAUACCUGCCAGAAUUGAUCUCAAUGGAGCUGCACAAUGAGAGGUUUUGCAUGUUGUCUAGAGGACUUUGGUUGAGUUCAGAGCUGAGCACACUUGCCUUCAGACUCUCCUGGGACUCCCAGUUCUCAUCCAUAUGAGCAAGGGCUUCAUGUUACUGGCCGUGGCCCUGUGCUGAGUCCUCCUCCCGCCCAUGGCCCUCUCCUCCUGGCCAGUGGUCCUCCGCCUGAACAUGGCCGACUUUGUCUUCAGUUUCCUCUGCCUCGGCAUUGGGCUCCUGAUUUCUCUUCAGCCUGACGCUCUUUUCAGUUAACGGCAAGGCGGUGCACCCAAGUCCGGUGGUGUCCUACCUGGUGACCUCCUACCUGUGCUGGGACGCCAGCGACUUGAUGCUGCACUCCGCAGGGCGCAGCGAGGCGGACAUCCAAACAGCGGAACUCAGACGCUGACUCCGAGCGCACCCCGGGCCUUCCCAUUUCAUACACCCUCGAGGAUGAGACCCAAGCACCUCCAAGGAAUAGCACCCGAGGUCUUCAGGACACCGACCGGUAGCCAUGGCCAGAUGCCCGGCCAACCCCUUCAGCGUGGCCACGCCCUGGAUAUUCGACCUCCCCUGAGGCCCCACCCCCUGAUAUCAGGCCACGCCCUCCGAGGGGACCGGUGGCAAACUCCAGCCCUCGCUCUAGGGCCCGCCCUUUGCGGCUUUGUCCCUGCCCACUGGGUCCUCACAGUACCUCCACCCCAGAGGCCCAGCAUCCCCUCCCGUUCUGCAGACACUUGUCCAGCGUCCCGCUGAGCUCGGCAGUGUGGCUAGUUUGUGUGGCCCUGCCCCUGGUGCCCAGCCAGGGUGGUCUGCAUGGAACUUCUUUCCCGGAGUUCCGGCCUCAGCUCCGAUGUCCACCCUUGUCCCCAGGUGGACACAGCACCGCCCAGCAUUUGGUGCAACUCCACCCUUCUGCAGAACGGGCCCCUCCCUGGGAAGGCAUGGCUUGCAAUAACAUCCCUCUGUACCUUUUCUGGCUUCCCCG
This 1454-nucleotide long non-coding RNA is filed under the name Homo sapiens (human). RNAcentral describes it as "non-protein coding LINC01869:22". The record is from RNAcentral. Lineage: Eukaryota; Metazoa; Chordata; Mammalia; Primates; Hominidae.